This 424-nucleotide ribosomal RNA is filed under the name uncultured bacterium. RNAcentral's name for it is "partial 16S ribosomal RNA". The record is from RNAcentral.
CCGACCCGCGGUCCAAUCAUCGAGCACCGGCUGCACCCGGCGCGGAAACAGUUCGAAUCCCGCCAUCAUUUGCGGACGCAACAGGUGAAGUGCAGCGAGUGUCUGAAGUUGCCACGAGUGGUGAUCGGGGUCGUCGUGGUGCUCGCCGAUCAGUACCACGUCGCGGCGCGCCGCCUCGCGAAGUAUUGCGUGUUCAGACGUGGGCUGCAGCGUCCCGUUUCUGAACGUGUACCAGUUCCCCCGGAGCAGGACAUUGCGUCACCGCUGAAGUGCUUUGCGGCGGUGUCGUGCAGCCCACGCAAAAAGCGAGACCGAUACAGGCUGAGAAGAGCCUCGUCUUCUCGCGCACACGCAGUGCGAUGCGGCCUCGCGGCUGGAGACGGACUUGCUAUUCCUCGAUGCGGCUUUCCCGGAGCUUGUCCAC